Molecule: small nuclear RNA, 319 nt
Filed under: Chinchilla lanigera (long-tailed chinchilla)
Lineage: Eukaryota; Metazoa; Chordata; Mammalia; Rodentia; Chinchillidae
Description: 7SK RNA (ENSCLAG00000022042.1)
Rfam family: 7SK RNA (bases 1-285)
About the family: 7SK was discovered as an abundant small nuclear RNA in the mid-70s but a possible function has only recently been suggested.
Source: RNAcentral
GGGUGUGAGGAGGGUCUGGCUGCGGCGUGUCACCCAUUGAGAGCCAGGGUGCAUUUGGCCGAUCUGGCUGGCUAGUAGACGUGCCUUCCCCCCUCCCACUCCAUGUGCAUUCCUCCUGAGGCUGUGCACUCAGUCAAGGAUGACGACCACCCUGCUAGAGGAGGACUGUUCUUUCGGUCAAGGGUAUAGGAGUAUCUGUGCUCCCCUACCAGAAUCUCCAAACAAGUGCUCAAGGAAACCAUGUGUAUGUUUUACAUUGGACAGAAGAUCUAAGUCACUGUCAGUGAAAUAAGGAGAUAUGAGUAAAUCCUGCUAAUGU